This 405-nucleotide ribosomal RNA is filed under the name uncultured bacterium. RNAcentral's name for it is "partial 16S ribosomal RNA". It matches the Rfam family "Bacterial small subunit ribosomal RNA", at positions 28 to 526 of the family's 1533-position model. The record is from RNAcentral.
GACGAACGCUGGCGGCGUGCUUAACACAUGCAAGUCGAACGAGUGGCGAACGGGUGAGUAAUACGUGGGUAACCUGCCCUCUUUUUGGGAUAAGCCUUGGAAACGGGGUCUAAUACCGAAUAAGGGGGUUGGGCUCGCGGCCUAUCAGCUUGGUGGGGGGGUGAUGGACUACCAAGGCGGUGACGGGUAGCCGGCUUGAGAGGGGGACGGGACACAUUGGGACUGAGAUACGGCCAAGGCUCGUACGGGAGGCAGCAGUGGGGGAUAUGGCACAAUGGGCGAAAGCCCGAUGCAGCGAUGCGGCGUGGGGGAUGGAGGCUUUAGGGUUGUAAACCUCUGUGGCUAGCGAACGGGUAGGUGGAGAAGAAGCGCCGGCUAACUACGUGCCAGCAGCCGCGGUAAUAC